UGCCAGCAGCCGCGGUAAUACGUAGGGUGCAAGCGUUAAUCGGAAUUACUGGGCGUAAAGCGUGCGCAGGCGGUUCGGAAAGAAAGGUGUGAAAUCCCCGGGCUUAACCUGGGAACGGCACUUUUAACUACCGAGCUAGAGUGUGUCAGAGGGGGGUGGAAUUCCGCGUGUAGCAGUGAAAUGCGUAGAGAUGCGGAGGAACACCGAUGGCGAAGGCAGCCCCCUGGGACAACACUGACGCUCAUGCACGAAAGCGUGGGGAGCAAACAGGAUUAGAUACCCUGGUAGUCCACGCCCUAAACGAUGUCAACUAGCUGUUGGGCCCUUCGGGGCUUAGUAGCGCAGCUAACGCGUGAAGUUGACCGCCUGGGGAGUACGGUCGCAAGAUUAAAACUCAAAGGAAUGACGGCC
This 411-nucleotide ribosomal RNA is filed under the name uncultured bacterium. RNAcentral describes it as "bacterial SSU rRNA". It matches the Rfam family "Bacterial small subunit ribosomal RNA", at positions 506 to 918 of the family's 1533-position model. The record is from RNAcentral.